CCUGGUUGCUGUCAUCAAAGCAAGCAAGAACAAUAAUUUGGUUUGAUCAAAUACACUUCUAUUUAUUUUGAGUUUAAAAGCAUGUUAAAUGCAGGUACUGCAGCAUUAAUGUGCUCAUGAAGAACCGGAGCUCCUCCCUCCAUGAACAGCAGAUGGACCUCAAGAAGCAGCAUGAAGCUUCUCUCUGUGGGGAACAGCUUCCUGCUCUGAUGCUGGCGUCGCCUCUCUUCUCUUGAGAUGGUGAGUUCAGGGCUGCUCGGAGACUUCGGACGUCCUGGUAUGAGGUUCUGCGCCGACGAGGUCCGUGUCGGGACUCUGCGGUGCUCUCCGCGCUGUGGUGGGCCCUGCUCACCCGUGCUGCUGCUGGGCUGUUGUCCUCCCCCCCUGGUGGCGAAGAGGGUCACUGCAGCCGCCGGCCGGUCCAGCUCCGUGGAUGCGCGCGGCCUGGUGUGUGCGUGCGCAUCAUGGGCUCUCCGAGGUAGGAGAAGGGGGGCUGAUGGAGGUGCACGCGCACCCGGCUUUCUCCGCGGUCGAGGGAGGGGGGCUGCUGUGUCCCCCCCGCGCUCACCUGCAGGGCGGCCUGGCCUCCGGGCAUGAAGACGCGCCGUGCACACCAGCGCCAUCUUUAGCGCUGGCUCCUCAGGAACAACAAUGUUGCUCACGCUGGUGAGACCUUUCUCCGGUUGUAGACGGUCUUUAAAACACGUACCGGAUGCUGCAGUUGUUGUAAUCGGCUCCAAUCUUCCGUGAUGGCUUCCUAAAUUUGCCUUUUGAACUAUUUUUCUAAUAAAGAGCUUACUAUAAAGUC
Pseudoliparis swirei is the source of this 808-nucleotide long non-coding RNA. RefSeq lists it as uncharacterized. The transcript has 2 exons. Lineage: Eukaryota; Metazoa; Chordata; Actinopteri; Perciformes; Liparidae. The record is from RefSeq and is a predicted model, not a curated record.